GUGCAUCUGGUGUAGUGGUAUCAUAGUACCCUCCCAUGGUACAAACUAGUGUUCGGUUCCCUGGAUGCGUA
Molecule: transfer RNA, 71 nt
Filed under: Hordeum vulgare
Lineage: Eukaryota; Viridiplantae; Streptophyta; Magnoliopsida; Poales; Poaceae
Description: tRNA-Gly
Rfam family: tRNA
About the family: Transfer RNA (tRNA) molecules are approximately 80 nucleotides in length. Their secondary structure includes four short double-helical elements and three loops (D, anti-codon, and T loops).
Source: RNAcentral